Molecule: long non-coding RNA, 489 nt
Organism: Pseudophryne corroboree (corroboree frog)
Lineage: Eukaryota; Metazoa; Chordata; Amphibia; Anura; Myobatrachidae
Exons: 3
Source: RefSeq, a predicted model, not a curated record
UCACAGCGAUCAGCCAAUCAGGUGAGCGCAACGAAGUUGCGCUUCCUGAUUGGCUUAGAGACCUGUCAGUGACAGCUGUCACUGACAGAUCUUAAUCGUGGAAAGGUGUCCCAUGUGUCAACAUGGGACCCCUUUCAGUCCGUUUUUGGUGCGGGUAAAUGCGCUUUCUUUUUUUGCCAAGUACGUGGAUUUAUCUCUGGACCCUGAGGUCCUGCGUUGUAUCUUCCCAAGUGGCGUGGAUGUGAGGAGACACGACAUUUCACCCGAUGUUCCAUGGGCGACCUACUGGUGAUGUGGACCUGACCCUCCGCCAUGUAGCAGACAACCACCUCAGGUACUGCGGUGUAUCUUCCCAAGUGGCGUGGAUGUGAGGAGACACGACAUUUCACCCGAUGUUCCAUGGGCGACCUACUGGUGAUGUGGACCUGACCCUCCGCCAUGUAGCAGACAACCACCUCAGGUGAGAUGCAAUUGACCAACAAAACUCAC